GAAAUGCGAUAAGUAAUGUGAAUUGCAGAAUUCAGUGAAUCAUCGAAUCUUUGAACGCACCUUGCGCUCCUUGGUAUUCCGAGGAGCAUGCCUGUUUGAGUGUCAUGGAAUUCUCAACUCUAUUUGCUUUUGUGAAUAGAGCUUGGAUUUGGAGGUUUAUUGCUGGUACUUGUGAUCGGCUCCUCUUGAAUGCAUUAGCUCGAACCUUUGCGGAUCAGCUAUCGGUGUGAUAAUUGUCUACGCCGUUGCAGUGAAGCAUAUCAAUGGGCUCGGCUUCCAAUCGUCCUUUACUGGACAAUGACUUUGACCUUUGACCUCAAAUCAGGUAGGAUUACCCGCUGAACUUCAGC
Molecule: unclassified non-coding RNA, 350 nt
Filed under: plant metagenome
Description: partial contains 5.8S ribosomal RNA, internal transcribed spacer 2, and large subunit ribosomal RNA
Rfam family: 5.8S ribosomal RNA (bases 1-105)
Source: RNAcentral